RNAcentral lists this ribosomal RNA (406 nucleotides) under uncultured bacterium. Its description in RNAcentral is "partial 16S ribosomal RNA". It matches the Rfam family "Bacterial small subunit ribosomal RNA", at positions 28 to 526 of the family's 1533-position model. The record is from RNAcentral.
AUUGAACGCUGGCGGCAGGCCUAACACAUGCAAGUCGAACGAGUGGCGGACGGGUGAGUAAUGUCUGGGAAACUGCCUGAUGGAGGGGGAUAAAUACUGGAAACGGUAGCUAAAAACGCAUACCAUCGGAGGUGGCCAGAUGGGAUUAGCGAGUGGGUGGGGGAAAGGCUCACCUAGGCGACGAUCCCUAGCUGGUCUGAGAGGCUGACCGCCCACACUGGACUGGGGCCACGGCCCAGCUCCCUCCGGGAGGCAGCAGUGGGGAUGUUUGCACAAUGGCCGCAAUCCUGAGGCACCCCUGCCGCGUGGAUGAAGCAGGCCUUCGGGUUUUAAAGUCCUUUCAGCGGGGCGGCGUUACCCGCAGAAGAAGCACCGGCUAACUCCGUGCCAGCAGCCGCGGUAAUAC